GUCUCCGUAGCUCAGUGGAUUAGAGCAUUGGUUUCCGGUACCAAAGGUCGCAGGUUCGAAUCCUGUCGGGGACACCA
Molecule: transfer RNA, 77 nt
Filed under: Corynebacterium coyleae
Lineage: Bacteria; Bacillati; Actinomycetota; Actinomycetes; Mycobacteriales; Corynebacteriaceae
Also listed under: 3 other names
Description: tRNA-Arg
Rfam family: tRNA
About the family: Transfer RNA (tRNA) molecules are approximately 80 nucleotides in length. Their secondary structure includes four short double-helical elements and three loops (D, anti-codon, and T loops).
Source: RNAcentral